UACGGGGGGGGCAAGCGUUGUUCGGAAUUACUGGGCGUAAAGGGCUCGUAGGCGGCCAACUAAGUCGGACGUGAAAUCCCCGGGCUCAACCUGGGAAUUGCAUCUGUGACUGCAUCGCUAGAGUACGGUAGAGGGGGAUGGAAUUCCGCGUGUAGCAGUGAAAUGCGUAGAUAUGCGGAGGAACACCGAUGGCGAAGGCAGCCCCCUGGGUCAAGAUUGACGCUCAUGCACGAAAGCGUGGGGAGCAAACAGG
Molecule: ribosomal RNA, 253 nt
Filed under: uncultured bacterium
Lineage: Bacteria
Description: partial 16S ribosomal RNA
Rfam family: Bacterial small subunit ribosomal RNA
Source: RNAcentral